UGGGGAAUAUUGGACAAUGGGGGAACCCUGAUCCAGCAAUGCCGCGUGUGUGAAGAAGGCCUGAGGGUUGUAAAGCUCUUUUACCAGGGACGAUAAUGACGGUACCUGGAGAAUAAGCCCCGGCAAACUUCGUGCCAGCAGCCGCGGUAAUACGAAGGGGGCUAGCGUUGUUCGGAUUUACUGGGCGUAAAGCGCGUGUAGGCGGGUCGUUAAGUUGGGGGUGAAAUCCCGAGGCUCAACCUCGGAACUGCCUUCAAAACUGGCGACCUGGACCUAAGUAGAGGCAAGUGGAAUUGCGAGUGUAGAGGUGAAAUUCGUAGAUAUUCGCAGGAACACCAGUGGCGAAGGCGACUUGCUGGACUUAUGGUGACGCUGAGACGCGAAAGCGUGGGGAGCAAACAGGAUUAGAUACCCAUGUAGUCCCUGAGCGGGCUGGCAAGGCGCAU
This 446-nucleotide ribosomal RNA is filed under the name uncultured bacterium. RNAcentral describes it as "bacterial SSU rRNA". It matches the Rfam family "Bacterial small subunit ribosomal RNA", at positions 355 to 825 of the family's 1533-position model. The record is from RNAcentral.